RNAcentral lists this unclassified non-coding RNA (376 nucleotides) under soil metagenome. RNAcentral describes it as "partial contains 5.8S ribosomal RNA, internal transcribed spacer 2, and large subunit ribosomal RNA". The stretch from base 1 to 120 matches the Rfam family "5.8S ribosomal RNA", at positions 35 to 154 of the family's 154-position model. The record is from RNAcentral.
GAUGAAGAACGUAGCGAAAUGCGAUAAGUAAUGUGAAUUGCAGAAUUCAGUGAAUCAUCGAAUCUUUGAACGCACCUUGCACCCUUUGGCAUUCCGAAGGGUAUGCUCGUUUGAGUGUCAUUGUACUCUCACACUCCCGAUCUUUGGAUUGGGAGCGGUGGACUUGGGUUUGCUGCUUGCCGUGGCUCACCUCAAAUGGACUAGUGCAACUCUUGGUUGACCAUAGUACGGCGUGAUAAGUGUCUUCGCCGGCACCUCACUGGGUGGGCCGAUCGGGAGCUCUGUGCUUCAAACCGUCUUCGGACAACAACUGACAACUUGACCUCAAAUCGAGUAGGACCACCCGCUGAACUUAAGCAUAUCAAUAAGCGGAGGA